CCCAUCCAAAAUUACUCUUCUAUUUCGCCAGCAAAGAGGCGCCGCUAAAAGCCACCGCCCACCCCGGCAUUUUUUCGCCAGAUUCAAUCUGUUCUCCUAUCCCACAACUGCAGCGAUCAGGGCCUGAAGAAGAUUGGGGGUCGCCGGCUGGCCGCCCCGUCGGUUCAAGCUCCGAUCCACAACAUCAACCAACCCCGCGAGCACUCCGCUCUAUUCUCCCCCUGAUUUGCAGCGACCGGCGACAGCGGAUUGAAGGAGGCCGCCCCACCAGCGGAGCUCAGAUCCACCGCAUCAACCCGCGCGUGAGCCUUUCCCCACCGACUACAGCAACCGGGUCACCAGGAUACAAUGAAGGGAUUUGGGGGAGAAAAGCACCGAGGUGAGGUAGACGAAAGAGAGAAGGCAUCGAGAGGAGUUAGCCGCGAGGCUUGAAGCACAAGUGACAACAUUUGAAGACAUGCAGGGGAAGGAACAUGGAGAAUUGCAAGCUGUGAAGAAGAGACAGCAAGAGAAGAAUGAAGCCUGGCAAAAGAAGCAACAUGAGAUGGAUAACCUGAUUGGUUUUCUCUUAAAGGCUCAAGGAACUCAGCAAGCAACUUAGCAGUCCCAUUCCAAACCUGACGGUGCAUGAAGGCCAUCCUUUUGUGAUGGAAAGAUAGUUGUUGAAUCAUAUGUUGUAAUCAUCAGGACAACACAUGUGGUCUUUAGUUAUUUAAAUAUUGCCUUUUUAACUUGUCUAUUGUCGUGUCAAACUCCAGAGUGAGUGUUCCAUUUUAUUGUCACUUCUAGUUAGAGGAUGAUUUGGCUGAGACGGUUGAUUAUAUGAUAUGAUUUGUCGUUCAUUCAAAUUUA
This is a long non-coding RNA of Triticum dicoccoides, 852 nucleotides long. RefSeq lists it as uncharacterized. The transcript has 3 exons. The record is from RefSeq and is a predicted model, not a curated record. Lineage: Eukaryota; Viridiplantae; Streptophyta; Magnoliopsida; Poales; Poaceae.